AUUGAACGCUGGCGGAAUGCUUUACACAUGCAAGUCGAACGGUAACAGGUUAAGCUGACGAGUGGCGAACGGGUGAGUAAUACAUCGGAACGUGCCCAGUCGUGGGGGAUAACGUAGAGAAAUUUACGCUAAUACCGCAUACGAUCUAAGGAUGAAAGCGGGGGACCGUAAGGCCUCGCGCGAUUGGAGCGGCCGAUGUCAGAUUAGGUAGUUGGUGGGGUAAAGGCCUACCAAGCCGACGAUCUUUAGCUGGUCUGAGAGGACGACCAGCCACACUGGGACUGAGACACGGCCCAGACUCCUACGGGAGGCAGCAGUGGGGAAUUUUGGACAGUGGGCGCAAGCCUGAUCCAGCAAUGCCGCGUGCAGGAUGAAGGCCUUCGGGUUGUAAACUGCUUUUGUACGGAACGAAACGGCAAGCUCUAAUACAGUUUGCUAAUGACGGUACCGUAAGAAUAAGCACCGGCUAACUACGUGCCAGCCGCCGCUGUAA
RNAcentral lists this ribosomal RNA (493 nucleotides) under uncultured bacterium. RNAcentral describes it as "partial 16S ribosomal RNA". It matches the Rfam family "Bacterial small subunit ribosomal RNA", at positions 30 to 523 of the family's 1533-position model. The record is from RNAcentral.